Molecule: non-coding RNA, 115 nt
Organism: Glycine max (soybean)
Lineage: Eukaryota; Viridiplantae; Streptophyta; Magnoliopsida; Fabales; Fabaceae
Source: Rfam
UGAUAAAUGAAUGUUGAUUGUUACGUGUCACAUUCUUAUUGAAUCAUGAGUCACAUGUCAUAUUUUGAUUGUUAUCAUUGGUCAAUCAAAACAUGACAUGUUACCGUCAUCAGAA